GAAUGCAUUUAAGAAAUUAAAGAAGUCAUCCUAAACAGAAUAUAUUGAAAACAACAAACCAAGUGACACAGAAGUUGGGAAACAUGAGCACAACGAAAUCGCCUCCCUAUAUCACAUCACUGCUGGUUCUUAUUUGAGAAGAAAACCUCGAGCUUCUUACUGUCCAAUUCUUAUCAAAACAACAGGGAAACGCUGAAAAUCUCAGAAGAAUAUUUGGAUUAGUGAAACUCACAACCACUGUCAGAAGUCUAUCUCUUUGGCUUUCUGUUCUGAAGUAGCAGAGUCUAACUUCAACAAGAUUCAUGAGACCAAACUACAGUAAUUCCUAAGAAAAAGGUACAAGUGGGAGGAGACUAAUAUAUUAUCAGGUACCAACUUUGUACUAACUACGUAUACUAAGUACAUAAUAUGUAACUUAGUCUUUACAAAAGAAAAUUUCAUUUCCUCCAGAGGAAUCCUUACUUUACAAGAGCUUCUGAGUAAUAAUGAUAGUGAUAAAAUUUAUUAGAUCACUACUAACAUUUAACUUACGGGGUGCCAGGCAUUGUGCUGUUCACUUCAUAAGUAAUAGAAUGUUCACUGUAAAAUAAAAUAAAGGCUCAAACUGUGUGCCUAUGAUACUCCACCUACCUCGGGACCCAGGAAGAUUAAAAUAUGCUUGCUUUGGUUCCAAAUUCUGCUGUAAGUAUAGGGAUAAUUUCAAGUCAUUGGCCUUCUGGUAGUUCUUCAAGGCUUCAAUUCUCAGCUCAAUCACUUUGCCAUUGAAGUCAUUCUACAAGGCAACAUUUUCAAAACUACUCAUAUAAUACUGGCCUCUCUAAAGCACCUGUAACCUGAU
This is a long non-coding RNA of Lutra lutra (Eurasian river otter), 838 nucleotides long. RefSeq lists it as uncharacterized. The transcript is spliced from 3 exons. NCBI's taxonomy places the organism in Eukaryota, Metazoa, Chordata, Mammalia, Carnivora, Mustelidae. The record is from RefSeq and is a predicted model, not a curated record.